CCGGUGGCGAAAGCGGCUNUCUGGUCUGUCACUGACGCUGAGGCUCGAAAGCGUGGGUAGCGAACAGGAUUAGAUACCCUGGUAGUNCACGCCGUAAACGCUGAGUGCUAGGUGUUAGGUCCUUUCCGGGACUUAGUGCCGACGCUAACGCAUUAAGCACUCCGCCUGGGGAGUACGACCGCAAGGUUGAAACUCAAAGGAAUUGACGGGGGCCCGCACAAGCGGUGGAGCAUGUGGUUUAAUUCGAAGCAACGCGAAGAACCUUACCAGGUCUUGACAUCCCGAUGCCCGCUCUAGAGAUAGAGUUUUACUUUUUGUACAUCGGAGACAGGUGGUGCAUGGUUGUCGUCAGCUCGUGUCGUGAGAUGUUGGGUUAAGUCCCGCAACGAGCGCAACCCUUAUUGUUAGUUGCCAUCAUUAAGUUGGGCACUCUAGCGAGACUGCCGGUAAUAAACCGGAGGAAGGUGGGGAUGACGUCAAAUCAUCAUGCCCCUUAUGACCUGGGCUACACACGUGCUACAAUGGUUGGUACAACGAGUCGCAAGCCGGCGACGGCAAGCUAAUCUCUGAAAGCCAAUCUCAGUUCGGAUUGUAGGCUGCAACUCGCCUACAUGAAGUCGGAAUCGCUAGUAAUCGCGGAUCAGCACGCCGCGGUGAAUACGUUCCCGGGCCUUGUACACACCGCCCGUCACACCACGAGAGUUUGUAACACCCAAANU
Molecule: ribosomal RNA, 719 nt
Filed under: uncultured bacterium
Lineage: Bacteria
Description: bacterial SSU rRNA
Rfam family: Bacterial small subunit ribosomal RNA
Source: RNAcentral